GCGUUAUCCUUAACAACGUUAUCCCAAGAAGAUAACACUUAUAUCCCCAGCAGUGUUGAGAGAAAAUAAAUUCUGAAAAAAAAUAAAAUAAAAAUAAAAUAAAAAAAAAAUUGAAUUUGAAGGAGGGGAAGAAAGGAGACUCCCACGGUGGUAUUAUCCCCAGCAAGCAAGAAAAAAGCAGAGUGAAGGAAGGAGAAAAGAAAAGAAGAAAUUACGAAGGUAAGUUUCUCAAUUUAUUGAUCUUUACAUUUUCCCCUUAGGAUAAAAGUCCUAAUCUGAUGAAUUUCUUUCCCGAUACAAUCUUGGUCCGAUGAAAUUUUUCUCCCAAGAUAAGAUAUCAAAUCUUAGUCCGAUGAAAUUUUCUCCUAAGAUAUCAAAUCUUAGUCCGAUGAAUUUUCUCCUAAGAUAGAAAUCUUGGUCUGAUGAAAUUUUUCUCCCAAGAUAAUAAUAAAAUCUUAGUCGGAUGAAUCUUUCUCCUAAGAUCACAACAAAAUGGACUUAGUCUGACGAUUUAUCUCCUAGAGUCAAAAUCUUGGUCUGAUGAAAUUUUUCUCCCAAGAUAAUAUAAUAAAAUCUUAGUCGGAUGAAUCUUUCUCCUAAGAUCACAACAAAAUGGACCUAGUCUGACGAUUUAUCUCCUAGAGUCAAAAUCUUGGUCUGAUGUAAAUUUU
Molecule: long non-coding RNA, 671 nt
Filed under: Nicotiana tabacum (common tobacco)
Lineage: Eukaryota; Viridiplantae; Streptophyta; Magnoliopsida; Solanales; Solanaceae
Description: long non-coding RNA (NTAB_LNC008257)
Source: RNAcentral